RNAcentral lists this ribosomal RNA (202 nucleotides) under uncultured bacterium. RNAcentral's name for it is "partial 16S ribosomal RNA". It matches the Rfam family "Bacterial small subunit ribosomal RNA", at positions 328 to 539 of the family's 1533-position model. The record is from RNAcentral.
ACGCUCGACACCUACUGGAGGCAGCAGUCGGGAAUAUUGCGCAAUGGAGGAAACUCUGACGCAGUGACGCCGCGUGCAGGAAGAAGGUUUUCGGAUUGUAAACUGCUUUAGACAGGGGAAGAAGGAAAUGACAGUACCUGUAGAAUAAGCUCCGGCUAACUACGUGCCUGCAGCCGCGGUAAUCUGAGCGGGCUGGCAAGGC